Molecule: ribosomal RNA, 248 nt
Filed under: uncultured Ruminiclostridium sp.
Lineage: Bacteria; Bacillati; Bacillota; Clostridia; Eubacteriales; Oscillospiraceae
Description: partial 16S ribosomal RNA
Rfam family: Bacterial small subunit ribosomal RNA
Source: RNAcentral
UACGUAGGGAGCGAGCGUUGUCCGGAUUUACUGGGUGUAAAGGGUGCGUAGGCGGCUUUUCAAGUCAGAAGUGAAAUGCAUGGGCUUAACCCAUGAACUGCUUUUGAAACUGGGGGGCUUGAGUGCGCCGGAGGUAGGCGGAAUUCGUGGUGUAGCGGUGAAAUGCUUAGAUAUCAGGAGGAACACCGGUGGCGAAGGCGGCUUACUGGACAGUCACUGACGUUGAGGCUCGAAAGCGUGGGGAGCAA